UACGUAGGGGGCUAGCGUUGUCCGGAAUCAUUGGGCGUAAAGAGCGCGUAGGCGGCCAGAUAAGUCCGGUGUGAAAGUCACAGGCUCAACCUGUGAAUGCCGCUGGAAACUGUCUGGCUAGAGUCCGGAAGGGGCGAGUGGAAUUCCUGGUGUAGCAGUGAAAUGCGUAGAUAUCAAGAGGAACACCAGUGGCGAAGGCGAGUCCCUGGACAACACCUGACACUGAGGCACGAAAGCUAGGGGAGCAAACAGG
This 253-nucleotide ribosomal RNA is filed under the name uncultured bacterium. RNAcentral's name for it is "partial 16S ribosomal RNA". It matches the Rfam family "Bacterial small subunit ribosomal RNA", at positions 524 to 776 of the family's 1533-position model. The record is from RNAcentral.